UACGUAGGCAGCAAGCGUUGUUCGGAGUUACUGGGCGUAAAGAGUGUGUAGGUGGUCUUCUAAGUUCGGUGUGAAAUCUCCCGGCUCAACUGGGAGGGUGCGCCGAAGACUGGAAGGCUUGAGUGUGGGAGAGGAAAGCGGAAUUCCUGGUGUAGCGGUGAAAUGCGUAGAUAUCAGGAGGAACACCUGCGGUGUAGACGGCUUUCUGGACCAUAACUGACACUGAGACACGAAAGCGUGGGUAGCAAACAGG
This 253-nucleotide ribosomal RNA is filed under the name uncultured bacterium. Its description in RNAcentral is "partial 16S ribosomal RNA". It matches the Rfam family "Bacterial small subunit ribosomal RNA", at positions 524 to 776 of the family's 1533-position model. The record is from RNAcentral.